GGAGAGGUGGGUGAGCGGCUUAAACCAGCGGUUUGCUAAACCGCCGUACGCUGUUAAGGUGUACCGAGGGUUCAAAUCCCUCCCUCUCCG
This 90-nucleotide transfer RNA is filed under the name Bacteroidota bacterium. RNAcentral describes it as "Bacteroidetes bacterium (wastewater metagenome) tRNA-Ser". It matches the Rfam family "tRNA". Rfam says of the family: Transfer RNA (tRNA) molecules are approximately 80 nucleotides in length. Their secondary structure includes four short double-helical elements and three loops (D, anti-codon, and T loops). Further hydrogen bonds mediate the characteristic L-shaped molecular structure. tRNAs have two regions of fundamental functional importance: the anti-codon, which is responsible for specific mRNA codon recognition, and the 3' end, to which the tRNAs corresponding amino acid is attached (by aminoacyl-tRNA synthetases). tRNAs cope with the degeneracy of the genetic code in two manners: having more than one tRNA (with a specific anti-codon) for a particular amino acid; and 'wobble' base-pairing, i.e. permitting non-standard base-pairing at the 3rd anti-codon position. The record is from RNAcentral. Lineage: Bacteria; Pseudomonadati; Bacteroidota.